Molecule: long non-coding RNA, 1260 nt
Organism: Bos taurus (domestic cattle)
Lineage: Eukaryota; Metazoa; Chordata; Mammalia; Artiodactyla; Bovidae
Source: Ensembl
CAUCUCAACUGGGGUUUGGCCGGGUUUGUUGCCUGCUCAGGAAAAUCGGGCAGAGGGUUUCCCUAUGCUCCUAGCCACCCUCCUCCCAUCAUGACCUCCCCCAUUAUGGAGAGCAGCAUCACCCAGACUCCAAGGGCCCGGCGUGUGCUUGAAUCCUUCAGUCCUCAGCUAUGUGGCUGGUCCAGCGGCCACUCCAGGAGGCAUUCAGUUGUUGGCUACACAGAUAAGACCAGAGAUGUGUACAUUUGCUACAAUUGCUGCACCAGGUGGCUCUAUAGGCAAAUGUUUCCAAUAUUCAAUGUACGCAAGGACUAGGAGAUCCCUAAGGUCCUACCAGCCUCAUCACUGUGCCAUCAAGACCCUUGCAUACUUCAGCUCCUCCGAUAUUAGAGGAGCCCCAGUGACUGAAAAUGGAGAAGGAAAUGGCAAUAGACUCCAGUAUUCUUGCCUGGACAAUUCCAUGGACAGAGGAGCCUGGCGGGCUACAGUCCACGGGGUCGCAGGGAGUUGAACACAACUUGAGAGUACACGCAACAAGUGACUGAAAAAGCAACACUGUAGCUUGCUGUAGCUUGACUGCAUUAGGUCACUAUCGUUCCCAGCUGGGGGUGGGGUGAGGUGGGUAUUAGCUUUACCAGCAAUGGCUUUCCUGCCUUCUCCAUCUGGUGACUUUGCAAAUUAAGGACCAUGCCCCCUUCCCAAAGAUGUCCGCUUCUCAGCCACCCUGUCUUGUGAGCAGAACUGAGCCCUCUUGAGUGUGGGGCACCUGGGACGAAUGAUGGAAAUGUUUCUACCUGAGCCCUUGGCAUUAUGAGGGCAGGUGGGUUCCGAAAAGGCCACACUGGGACUGUUUUCUUUGGUGGCCAAAGUCACUUUCUCCCAGGAAAAUCCAGGCUGACUCCAUGCAAGCAUCUGACCGUGAGUCCUCCUGCCUUUGGACACUUGGCUGGGAUAGACUCUCUCCAGCAGGAUGCCCAUCAAGCAAGUUGAGUGACAUCUUCCUUUCUUUUUACCUCCUCCAGCCUCUUCUUAAUGGCAGCAGCAGACGGGUACUGACACCAGCUCCCUGACACCCUGUCAGACUUGCUGAACAAGUGUGGGACAGGCAGGCCCAGGGAAAUCGUGGUAUUUUUAGACCCUGGCUUGUGGAAACUUUUUCUCCAGGUUGUGAUGUUUCUGAUAACCUCUGCUUACUCUAAAGGACUCAACUAUCUUUAUCUCUGUAGAAAAAGAGGAUUGAAGAGUCCAAAGCUACCUUCA